GUGUCAGCAGCCGCGGUAAUACGGGGGGGGCAAGCGUUGUUCGGAAUUACUGGGCGUAAAGGGCUCGUAGGCGGCCAAUUAAGUCACACGUGAAAUCCCUCGGCUCAACCGGGGAACUGCGUGUGAGACUGGAUGGCUUGAGUGUGGGAGAGGAAUGCGGAAUUCCAGGUGUAGCGGUGAAAUGCGUAGAUAUCUGGAGGAACACCGGUGGCGAAGGCGGCAUUCUGGACCAUUACUGACGCUGAGGAGCGAAAGCCAGGGGAGCAAACGGGAUUAGAAACCCUCGUAGUCC
Molecule: ribosomal RNA, 292 nt
Filed under: uncultured bacterium
Lineage: Bacteria
Description: partial 16S ribosomal RNA
Rfam family: Bacterial small subunit ribosomal RNA
Source: RNAcentral